AACGAACGCUGGCGGCAUGCCUAACACAUGCGAGUCGAACGAGACCUUCGGGUCUAGUGGCGCACGGGUGCGUAACGCGUGGGAACCUGCCCUUAGGUUCGGAAUAACUCCCCGAAAGGGGUGCUAAUACCGGAUAAUGUCUUCGGACCAAAGAUUUAUCGCCUUUGGAUGGGCCCGCGUUGGAUUAGCUAGUUGGUAGGGUAAAAGCCUACUAAGGCGACGAUCCAUAGCUGGUCUGAGAGGAUGAUCAGCCACACUGGGACUGAGACACGGCCCAGACUCCUACGGGAGGCAGCAGUGGGGAAUAUUGGACAAUGGGCGAAAGCCUGAUCCAGCAAUGCCGCGUGAGUGAUGAAGGCCUUAGGGUUGUAAAGCUCUUUUACCCGGGAUGAUAAUGACAGUACCGGGAGAAUAAGCUCCGGCUAACUCCGUG
RNAcentral lists this ribosomal RNA (433 nucleotides) under uncultured bacterium. Its description in RNAcentral is "partial 16S ribosomal RNA". It matches the Rfam family "Bacterial small subunit ribosomal RNA", at positions 29 to 507 of the family's 1533-position model. The record is from RNAcentral.